RNAcentral lists this long non-coding RNA (1179 nucleotides) under Pogona vitticeps (central bearded dragon). Its description in RNAcentral is "lncRNA (ENSPVIG00000023124.1)". The record is from RNAcentral. Lineage: Eukaryota; Metazoa; Chordata; Lepidosauria; Squamata; Agamidae.
AUGGUGGAGGUUGGUUGGGGCUCGGGGGGUAGGGGCACCGGCCAGAAAGAGGAGCCCCUCCCAGCCAGCACAUCCUCCCCCCUCACACCCCCUUGGUGCUCCUUCUCCAGGCUCAACCCUGGAUCUGCCCUCCCCUUGGAGAGAGGUGGGGGGCAAGAAUUCAGCAGGAAGGGGCACUUUGGGGGCCCCCAGGGAGCCCAGGCUGAUGGGGUCCCCACAGGAGACCAGUGCUUCUGGUGGCCUCUCUCAGGGGCCAAGAGGCUGGAGAGGGGCACUGCUCUGUGGGGGGGGAAGGUAUUGUGCCCUUUCUUACCUCUCAGGAUGGGGAGGCCUCCAAGAGACACAAGAAGCCGUGGUCUGGAGAGGAGGGAGGGUGACGGGCCGUGGCCAGCUGAGCUGGAGGAGGAUGCGGGGCCGGAAGAGGCACAGGGGAGGCCAGGGCUCAUGGGGGAACCCGUGCCAGUCCUCCAUCAGCACCCAGAAGGCCACUGCCACGGCCACCAGAGUGAAGGCCAAGGUCACGGUUGCCGGCAUCAACAGCCGCCGGAGCAGCAGAGCGCGGUCCUUCCAGGGUCCCGCCAGCAACACGUAAGGGACCAGCUGUCCCUGGGUGGCCACCUCGUUCGCCGCCGCCAGCAUCUCCACCUCGGCCGGGGCGGGCGGCAGGUUCCACACCACUCUCCAGCACGCCAUCGGGAGAGAAGGGGGCGAGGAGGAGGAGGAAGAGGAGGAGGAAGGGGAAGAAGAAGGACCAGGGAAAGGAGAGCCAAGAGGAGGGGGGGAGGAGGAAGAGGAGGAAGAGGAGGAAGAGGAGGAGGAAGGUGGACCAGGGGAAAGGAGAGUAAGGAGGCUGGAGGUGGGGCAUCUGGUGGUGCAUCCCGAGCAUCGCUGGUUGCUCAGAGCAACGGUGAACACUUCGGCCUUGGGUGUGCGUGCCUUCAUUUAAGCCCCGCCCCUGGAUGUGCACACCUGGCUGCUCUCUGGCUUCUGCACCUGGGAUGGAGGAGGGUGGCCGAUGGACUGGCCCAAGGCAUGAUGCCGCCUGAGAUUAAGGGGUGGAGCGGGUAUCAAUGCUUCACCACCAGAGUGAAGGCCAAGCUCACGGCCAUGGCUGCGGGCAGCAGCACCCACCAGAGGAGCAGAGCGCAGUCCCUCCAUGGUCCUGCCAGCAAUACAUAG